GACGAACGCUGGCGGUGUGCUUAACACAUGCAAGUGGAGCGACGAACCAGGGCUUGCCCUGGGGCAGAGCCGCGAACGGGUGAGUAACACGUGGGUAACCUACCCCGAUGACAGGGACAACCCGAGGAAACUCGGGCUAAUACCGGAUAUGUCCGACAUUCACGAGGAUGUCGAGCAAAGGAAGCUUCGGCCUCCGCAUUGGGACGGGCCCGCGGCCCAUUAGCUAGUUGGUGGGGUAAUGGCCUACCAAGGCUGCGAUGGGUAGCUGGUCUGAGAGGACGAUCAGCCACACUGGGACUGAGACACGGCCCAGACUCCUACGGGAGGCAGCAGUGGGGAAUCUUGCGCAAUGGGCGAAAGCCUGACGCAGCGACGCCGCGUGAGGGAAGAAGG
Molecule: ribosomal RNA, 393 nt
Filed under: uncultured bacterium
Lineage: Bacteria
Description: bacterial SSU rRNA
Rfam family: Bacterial small subunit ribosomal RNA
Source: RNAcentral